Molecule: ribosomal RNA, 504 nt
Filed under: uncultured bacterium
Lineage: Bacteria
Description: partial 16S ribosomal RNA
Rfam family: Bacterial small subunit ribosomal RNA
Source: RNAcentral
ACUCAAAUGAAUUGACGGGGGCCCGCACAAGCAGCGGAGCAUGUGGCUUAAUUCGACGCAACGCGAAGAACCUUACCAAGGCUUGACAUAUACCGGAAACGGCUAGAGAUAGUCGCCCCCUUGUGGUCGGUAUACAGGUGGUGCAUGGUUGUCGUCAGCUCGUGUCGUGAGAUGUUGGGUUAAGUCCCGCAACGAGCGCAACCCUUGUUCUGUGUUGCCAGCAUGCCUUUCGGGGUGAUGGGGACUCACAGGAGACUGCCGGGGUCAACUCGGAGGAAGGUGGGGACGACGUCAAAUCAUCAUGCCCCUUAUGUCUUGGGCUGCACACGUGCUACAAUGGUCGGUACAAAGGGCUGCGAUGCCGCGAGGCGGAGCGAAUCCCAAAAAGCCGGCCUCAGUUCGGAUUGGGGUCUGCAACUCGACCCCAUGAAGUUGGAGUUGCUAGUAAUCGCAGAUCAGCAUGCUGCGGUGAAUACGUUCCCGGGCCUUGCACACACCGCCCGU